Molecule: ribosomal RNA, 253 nt
Filed under: uncultured bacterium
Lineage: Bacteria
Description: partial 16S ribosomal RNA
Rfam family: Bacterial small subunit ribosomal RNA
Source: RNAcentral
UGCAGAGGUCCCAAGCGUUGUUCGGAUUCACUGGGCGUAAAGGGUGCGUAGGCGGUCGGGUAAGUCUGAUGUGAAAUCUCACAGCUUAACUGUGAAACUGCAUUGGAUACUAUCCGGCUCGAGGAAUGGAGGGGAGACUGGAAUACUUGGUGUAGCAGUGAAAUGCGUAGAUAUCAAGUGGAACACCAGUGGCGAAGGCGAGUCUCUGGACAUUUCCUGACGCUGAGGCACGAAAGCCAGGGGAGCAAACGGG